Molecule: ribosomal RNA, 467 nt
Filed under: uncultured bacterium
Lineage: Bacteria
Description: partial 16S ribosomal RNA
Rfam family: Bacterial small subunit ribosomal RNA
Source: RNAcentral
GACGAACGCUGGCGGCGUGCUUAACACAUGCAAGUCGAACGGAAAGGCCCUGCUUUUGUGGGGUGCUCGAGUGGCGAACGGGUGAGUAACACGUGAGUAACCUGCCCUUGACUUUGGGAUAACUUCAGGAAACUGGGGCUAAUACCGGAUAGGAGCUCCUGCUGCAUGGUGGGGGUUGGAAAGUUUCGGCGGUUGGGGAUGGACUCCCGGCUUAUCAGCUUGUUGGUGGGGUAGUGGCUUACCAAGGCUUUGACGGGUAGCCGGCCUGAGAGGGUGACCGGCCACAUUGGGACUGAGAUACGGCCCAGACUCCUACGGGAGGCAGCAGUGGGGAAUAUUGCACAAUGGGCGGAAGCCUGAUGCAGCAACGCCGCGUGCGGGAUGACGGCCUUCGGGUUGUAAACCGCUUUCGCCUGUGACGAAGCGUGAGUGACGGUAAUGGGGAAAGAAGCACCGGCUAACUACGG